Molecule: ribosomal RNA, 253 nt
Filed under: uncultured bacterium
Lineage: Bacteria
Description: partial 16S ribosomal RNA
Rfam family: Bacterial small subunit ribosomal RNA
Source: RNAcentral
UACGGAGGGGGCUAGCGUUGUUCGGAAUUACUGGGCGUAAAGCGCGCGCAGGCGGUCUUCCAAGUCAGUGGUGAAAGCCCGGAGCUCAACUCCGGAACUGCCAUUGAAACUGUAAGACUUGAGGAUGAGAGAGGUGAGUGGAAUUCCCAGUGUAGAGGUGAAAUUCGUAGAUAUUGGGAAGAACACCGGUGGCGAAGGCGGCUCGCUGGCUCAUUACUGACGCUCAGGCGCGACAGCGUGGGGAUCAAACAGG